UUUUUUUGUUAACCUUCCGGUCGUGCAGUGGCGCCUCCGGACACGUCGAGCCGGGCGAUGAGCGCAGACAGCCGGAAGCGAGCAGCCGCAGAUCCCCCUGACAGACGGGCGCGAGAUCCGACGUGACGGAGUACUUUUUUGUCGCUCGCGCUGCGCUGUUGGGUUGAGCUCGUGGGCUUUCAGUCGAGUGGCUGAAAAUGCUAAAUUCGGGCUAAUUGCGGGUUUCGCAGCAGCAGCUGAACCCAUUCGCGUUGUUUCAUAGGAAGCGGUUCGACACGGGGACAAAUAUGUCGGUGAAGAAGCUGCCAGAAACAAACGGGAGCGAAGAGGGCCAAUCUCAGCCGAGGGCGUCAUCAAGCUUCCCAAAGCAAUUGGACCUGAAGGCUGAGGUGGCUCUGGAAGGAGAAUGAUUUUGCCGUCCGGUCGUCCGUCAGAAGCCGUGGCCCGGACCUGCCACCCGGCAGGACCUCCACCCCGGCCACACAGAAAAUACGUCUGUGGGAAGCGCAGAGGAUAGCUGUCUGGACGUCACACUGAGCUGCACUUCGGAGUAAUUUAAAAGCCCCAACUGAAUCCUUUCCCUCUUCCUUGUGCUUUUUUUCCCCCGGUCAUCCUCAUCCUGGAUUACACGCUGAAUCAAUAUUUUGUUGCUUCAGCAAAAUAAACCCCAAUAAC
Molecule: long non-coding RNA, 675 nt
Organism: Poeciliopsis prolifica (blackstripe livebearer)
Lineage: Eukaryota; Metazoa; Chordata; Actinopteri; Cyprinodontiformes; Poeciliidae
Exons: 3
Source: RefSeq, a predicted model, not a curated record